GUGGGGAAUCUUGCGCAAUGGGCGAAAGCCUGACGCAGCCAUGCCGCGUGAAUGAUGAAGGUCUUAGGAUUGUAAAAUUCUUUCACCGGGGACGAUAAUGACGGUACCCGGAGAAGAAGCCCCGGCUAACUUCGUGCCAGCAGCCGCGGUAAUACGAAGGGGGCUAGCGUUGCUCGGAAUUACUGGGCGUAAAGGGCGCGUAGGCGGACAGUUUAGUCAGAGGUGAAAGCCCAGGGCUCAACCUUGGAAUUGCCUUUGAUACUGGCUGUCUUGAGUACGGGAGAGGUGAGUGGAACUCCGAGUGUAGAGGUGAAAUUCGUAGAUGUUCGGAAGAACACCAGUGGCGAAGGCGACUCACUGGCCCGUUACUGACGCUGAGGCGCGAAAGCGUGGGGAGCAAACAGGAUUAGAAACCCGUGUAGUCC
This 425-nucleotide ribosomal RNA is filed under the name uncultured bacterium. Its description in RNAcentral is "partial 16S ribosomal RNA". It matches the Rfam family "Bacterial small subunit ribosomal RNA", at positions 354 to 796 of the family's 1533-position model. The record is from RNAcentral.